ACGUAAGUGAAACUGCCAACGGCCCAUUAAAUCCCUCUUGGUUCAUUCAGGUCCUUGCCAUAGCUAACGUGGAUAACUGUGGCAAUUCCAGAGAUAAUACAUGCGACCGACCGCCGACUCCGGGAGGCGCGCUUUUAUUGGUUCAAACCCGACCGGGCCUUCUCGGGCCCGUCUCUUUCGAUGACUCUGGAUAACCACGCGAAUCGCAGGCCUCGGCGGCGGCAACGCACCAUUCAAGUGUCUGACCUAUCAACUUUCGAAGGUAGGCUACGGGCUUACCUUUGUGAUAACGGGUGACGGGAAAUCAGGGUUCGAUUCCGGAGAGGGAGCCUGAGAAACGGCUACCACAUCCCAGGAAGGCAGCAGGCGCGCAAAUUACCCAUUCCCGACACGGGGAGGUAGUGACGAAAAAUAACGAUGCGGGACUCUAACGAGGCCCCGCAAUCGGAAUGAGCGCAUUCCAAAACUCUGGUCGAGUAUCCAUCGGAGGGCAAGUCUGGUGCCAGCAGCCGCGGUAAUUCCAGCUCCGAAAGUGUAUGCUAAAGUUGUUGCGGUUGAAAAGCUCGUAGUUGGAUGUAGAGCGCGCGGCGCCGGUCCGUCGCAGGGCGUGCACCGGCGUCGCGGGUUCCGCCUGUCGGCGCUCCCCGCGCUGCUCUUGACCGGGUGCCGCGGGGCGGCCGACUAGUUUACUUUGAAAAAAUUAGAGUGUUCAAAGCAAGCCGGCCGCCUGCAUAGUGUCGCAUGGAGUACGGAACAGGACCUCGGUCUC
RNAcentral lists this ribosomal RNA (769 nucleotides) under Botryllus schlosseri. Its description in RNAcentral is "bacterial SSU rRNA". It matches the Rfam family "Eukaryotic small subunit ribosomal RNA", at positions 75 to 837 of the family's 1831-position model. Lineage: Eukaryota; Metazoa; Chordata; Ascidiacea; Stolidobranchia; Styelidae. The record is from RNAcentral.